GUAGGUGAACCUGCGGAAGGAUCAUUAUUGAAAUAAACCUGAUGGGUUGUUGCUGGCUCUCUAGGGAGCAUGUGCACGCCUUGUCAUCUUUAUAUCUCCACCUGUGCACCUUUUGUAGACCUUUCGGGGUCUAUGUUGCUUCAUUUUUCCACAAUGUAUGUUAAUAGAAUGUUGUGCCCUGUAUAAUAUAUACAACUUUCAGCAACGGAUCUCUUGGCUCUCGCAUCGAUGAAGAACGCAGCAUCUGACU
Molecule: unclassified non-coding RNA, 250 nt
Filed under: plant metagenome
Description: partial contains small subunit ribosomal RNA, internal transcribed spacer 1, and 5.8S ribosomal RNA
Rfam family: 5.8S ribosomal RNA (bases 194-250)
Source: RNAcentral